Molecule: ribosomal RNA, 320 nt
Filed under: uncultured eukaryote
Lineage: Eukaryota
Description: partial 18S ribosomal RNA
Rfam family: Eukaryotic small subunit ribosomal RNA
Source: RNAcentral
CCCCUAGAUGUUCUGGGCCGCCCGCGCGCUACACUGAACAGUUCAACAAGUCUUAACCUUGGCCGAUAGGUCUGGGUAAUCUUUGAACGCUGUUCGUGAUUGGGAUAGACCUUUGCAAUUAUGGGUCUUCAACGAGGAAUUCCUAGUAAACGCAAGUCAUCAGCUUGCAUUGAUUACGUCCCUGCCCUUUGUACACACCGCCCGUCGCACCUACCGAUUGAAUGGUCCGGUGAAAUCUCGGGACGGCGGCUUGGUCGCUUGCGUCCGACUGCUGAAACUUGAUUAAACCAUAUCAUUUAGAGGAAGGUGAAGUCGUAACA